GUGUGCUGCAGGAUAAUAAAGCUUUUCCCCCAAAAAACAGAUGAAUAUUUAAACUAAUUCAAAGAGAGAAGAAAGCUUCCUGAAAGGUAAUUUAAUUGACUUUUGCUUUCCAGGUGUCAAAUCAGACACUGAGCUUGUUCUUCACGGUUCUGCAAGAUGUCCCAGUAAGAGAUCUGAAACCAGCCAUAGUGAAAGUCUACGAUUACUACGAGACAGAUGAGUUUGCAAUUGCUGAGUACAAUGCUCCUUGCAGCAAAGGUAAGCCACUCACACUCCUUCAAAAGGCAGUCAGAGCUCCUUCAGCUUGUCCCCCAAACCUUCUCCUUCAAAAACCCUGGGUAAAUAUUGUCAAAAACAUCAAAUUACUCACACUGCACAUUAUUAUAGAAAAACACAUUUAUUGGAGAGGGCCACUGACUCUGUCAAACCUCAGACAGUCCAUAGGAUUGCUUAUGGGUAAUGAUUUGGAAUAGAUUUGGUUUCCCACUGUACUGAUUAGGUUUCCUUGGACACUAUGCUACCCAGAACUAAGGGAAAGAAUACUCUCUGCUCAUGGAGACCCAAGUCUGUCUUAAUUUUUUUUCUUUCCAAUAUCACAGAUCUUGGAAAUGCUUGAAGACCACAAGGCUGAAAAGUGCUUUGCUGGAGUCCUGUUCUCAGAGCUCCACAGAAGACACGUGUUUUUGUAUCUUUAAAGACUUGAUGAAUAAACAUUUUUUCUGGUCAA
Molecule: small RNA, 727 nt
Filed under: Pongo abelii (Sumatran orangutan)
Lineage: Eukaryota; Metazoa; Chordata; Mammalia; Primates; Hominidae
Description: retained intron
Source: RNAcentral